Molecule: transfer RNA, 67 nt
Filed under: Porotermes adamsoni (Australian dampwood termite)
Lineage: Eukaryota; Metazoa; Arthropoda; Insecta; Blattodea; Termopsidae
Description: tRNA-Leu
Source: RNAcentral
ACUAUUUUGGCAGAUAAGUGCGGCGGAUUUAGAAUCUGCAUAUGCAAAUUUUACUUUGUAGGUAGUA